CCGGAAGAGAAGGAACAGAAGAA
Molecule: non-coding RNA, 23 nt
Filed under: Cricetulus griseus (Chinese hamster)
Lineage: Eukaryota; Metazoa; Chordata; Mammalia; Rodentia; Cricetidae
Source: RNAcentral